RNAcentral lists this ribosomal RNA (253 nucleotides) under uncultured bacterium. RNAcentral's name for it is "partial 16S ribosomal RNA". It matches the Rfam family "Bacterial small subunit ribosomal RNA", at positions 524 to 776 of the family's 1533-position model. The record is from RNAcentral.
UACGUAGGGGGCAAGCGUUGUCCGGAAUUAUUGGGCGUAAAGAGCGUGUAGGCGGCCAGAUAAGUCCGCUGUGAAAUCUCGAGGCUCAACUUCGAGCUGUCGGUGGAAACUAUCUGGCUAGAGUCCGGAAGAGGAGAAUGGAAUUCCUGGUGUAGCGGUGAAAUGCGCAGAUAUCAGGAAGAACACCCGUGGCGAAGGCGGUUCUCUGGGACGGUACUGACGCUGAGGCGCGAAAGCGUGGGUAGCAAACGGG